Long non-coding RNA from Hydractinia symbiolongicarpus, 425 nucleotides. RefSeq lists it as uncharacterized. Lineage: Eukaryota; Metazoa; Cnidaria; Hydrozoa; Anthoathecata; Hydractiniidae. The record is from RefSeq and is a predicted model, not a curated record. The transcript has 3 exons.
UUGCAAAAUGGCGAACAAGUGAGGUGAAGGCUUAAAAACAUGAGGUUUCUGCAGCGUUUUAAAUCAACGCAAGCAAAAGUAUCCAUCAAGACAUGUGCAGUUGAAUCCUGGAGAUUCACAAAUAUCCUCGCAAUAAUGACCUUUACAAGGUGAUAAGCUGGAACAAACAUUACCAACCUAAAGAAGCGACAAUAUGACUUAAUACAAUGCUAGCACUAAACUAGACAUUGAAUUGUGCAUGGUACAGUCGUUGUUUACCUCUUUAUUACCAGGAUCAGUUUCAUAGUGUGUCCAAUCAACUUCGUUAGUUGCAUUGUUGCCACCAUCAACAAUUGUACUUUCUAGCAAGUCGCAUUCUUUUGUUACGUCGUUGUAAUUUAUGGAUUGACAUGAAUCAUGCAGAAUACAUUUUUCCACACAUUCAA